GGAGAGGUGGCUGAGCGGCCGAAAGCGACAGGUUGCUAACCUGUUAUAUGGCCUUAAAACCGUAUCGAGGGUUCGAAUCCCUCCCUCUCCG
Molecule: transfer RNA, 91 nt
Filed under: Patescibacteria group bacterium
Lineage: Bacteria
Description: tRNA-Ser
Rfam family: tRNA
About the family: Transfer RNA (tRNA) molecules are approximately 80 nucleotides in length. Their secondary structure includes four short double-helical elements and three loops (D, anti-codon, and T loops). Further hydrogen bonds mediate the characteristic L-shaped molecular structure. tRNAs have two regions of fundamental functional importance: the anti-codon, which is responsible for specific mRNA codon recognition, and the 3' end, to which the tRNAs corresponding amino acid is attached (by aminoacyl-tRNA synthetases). tRNAs cope with the degeneracy of the genetic code in two manners: having more than one tRNA (with a specific anti-codon) for a particular amino acid; and 'wobble' base-pairing, i.e. permitting non-standard base-pairing at the 3rd anti-codon position.
Source: RNAcentral